Haplochromis burtoni (Burton's mouthbrooder) is the source of this 519-nucleotide long non-coding RNA. RefSeq lists it as uncharacterized. NCBI's taxonomy places the organism in Eukaryota, Metazoa, Chordata, Actinopteri, Cichliformes, Cichlidae. The record is from RefSeq and is a predicted model, not a curated record. The transcript is spliced from 4 exons.
CAGGUAACCAUUGUCUUGUACAGUAGAGCGGGACAUUAGAUUUACUCUCAGCGGAAUUGACCGGAGAAGGCAUCAGUUCAUGCACUGCACUGGCCUGCACCACGAUUAGUAUAAGACAGGGCAAAAAAGGACUCCAAAUUAAAAAAAAGAUAAAAAUGAAAGACUGGUGCAUUGUGCAGUUUAGCACUGGUGGUACAGAAAUAGUCCCUAGAUCAUGGAUAAAUGGGGAGAAAUUGUCAUGGCCUCCAUAUCCUCCGUGAGACACAUUCAGGAUCCACGACGCAGUAAAGAGGAGAGUUCAUCCUGGUGCAACAUGGCUCACCUAUGCACCAGUCCGACUUCUAAUAAGCCAUGACACAUUUCACGAAGCAGAACGCAGUCUUCAGAAAUAUCUAAGUGAACACUGUGAUACGUCUGACCUUCAGUCCGAAGCUGAAACUCAGACCAGUCAUAAAAGAAAGCACAAACCAAAUCCCCUGUACACAUAUAGUGACUCAGAGGAUGAGCAGCCCACAAAAA